UACGUAGGGUGCGAGCGUUAAUCGGAAUUACUGGGCGUAAAGCGUGUGCAGGCGGUUUUGUAAGCCAGAUGUGAAAUCCCCGGGCUUAACCUGGGAAUGGCAUUUGGGACUGCAAGGCUGGAGUGCGGCAGAGGAGACUGGAAUUCCUGGUGUAGCGGUGAAAUGCGCAGAUAUCAGGAGGAACACCGGUGGCGAAGGCGGGUCUCUGGGCAGUAACUGACGCUGAGGAGCGAAAGCCAGGGGAGCAAACGGG
Molecule: ribosomal RNA, 253 nt
Filed under: uncultured bacterium
Lineage: Bacteria
Description: partial 16S ribosomal RNA
Rfam family: Bacterial small subunit ribosomal RNA
Source: RNAcentral